RNAcentral lists this long non-coding RNA (797 nucleotides) under Marmota monax (woodchuck). Lineage: Eukaryota; Metazoa; Chordata; Mammalia; Rodentia; Sciuridae. The record is from RNAcentral.
CAGCAUGUAGGAGGACCUUAGCAUAUACUGAGCUAGUCACUUCAUCCCACUGAUAUCAUUUUUUUGAAGGUAUAUUUGACUCAGUUGUGUUUUUUCACUUGUUAAUUGUUUUAGUCAGCUUUUUAUUGAUACAACUGAAAGACCCAACCAGAACAACUGUGGAAGAGGAAAGAUUUAUUUAGGGACUUAUGGUUUCAGAGGUCUCAGUCCCUAAGAGGCUGGCUCCAUUCCUUAAGCCUUAAGGUGAGGGGACAUCAUGGCAGAAGAGUAUGGCAUGAUGAUCAGAAAGCAGAGAGAGACUCCACUCACCAGAUACAAAAUAUACACCCACAGUCCACUGGUUCCUCCUCACAACAUACUUAUGAUCCUGGGUGGGAAGUACAGUACACAACAAUGAAAUAAUUGCCUACAGUUAUAGUGGUUGAGCUGGGAUUCCAACCCAGAUACUCCAGCUCCCAUGUCAAUGGUCUCAAAUCUACACUACAUCACCUUUCCUCAACAAGGGAAUAGUUGUCACCAUCUCCCUCCCUGCAAGUAGGUGAUGCUCUCCCCCUUGUGUUAUUCCUUUUGUAAAGUAUUAUGUUAAUGCUUUUAAGUCAUUAAUGAUAUGAGUCUUAAGUAUGGGUUUGGGGCUUUGCUGUGAUCUAGCACUGAUCUGUAUAAAGUGUGACAAAUUUUAAUAGUGAAAAUAUCAUAGCUUAGUUUGAUGCUAGUUGAAUAGAAUAUUGGAAUUGUGUUAGUCAAGCCUCUGGUAAAAUAUUUUUAUGGUUUUUAAGUAUUAAUUUCAGUGUUUUAAU